AGAGCAGUGCGUUGCGCACCAUUGUCCUGUACUGUCUGCCUGCUGAGAUGGGUCUUGCCCACAAAGAAUUAUGGUUUCCCUUCUGUGAAUUUCUGCACUACAUAUGGCGACGAGGAUAAAAGAAGAUAAAUAAGUAUGAAUAACGAAGCAGCUAUUUUCUAGAAGCAAGUAAAAAGCACGACGCCGACGCCGGUAAGCUCAGCUGAUUGAGAUUAAUGACUGCCGCGGGUGGUGACUGAUUGAAAGGAAUGAUGGCUGGAGUGGUCGGAUGUGUAGCACCUUUUAAUAGUGGAUUACAAUCAUGGGAAGAGUAUUGUGAAAUGCUGAAUCAUUUCUCCGUGGCAAAUGAUGUAGAAACUCCAGAGAAGAAACGAGCCAUAUUGUUGAGUUGUGUUGGAGCACAGACAUGCACACUGAUGAGGAAUUUGUUGAGUCCAGAGAAACCAGGUAUAAAGAGUUUUGAAGAAUUGGUGAGUUUAUUGAAAAACCACUUUAAUCCGAAGCCAAGUGAAAUAGUUCAGAGGUGGAAAUUUAAUUCAAGAAAUAGACGCCCUGAUGAAAGCAUAGUGGAGUAUGUGGCUGAGUUAAGGAAACUUGCACAAGAUUGCAAUUUCGGAGACACACUCACAGUGAUGCUGAGAGACAGAUUAGUGUGUGGAGUCAGUGAUGACAGCAUACAGCGGAGAUUACUGCCUGAGGAUGGAUUAACUUUUGAAACGGCACUGAAGAAAGCUCAGGCUAUUGAAACUGCUAAUAAGGAUAUGGCAGAUUUGAACAGAGUGAAAGGAAAUCGUAUGAAUACUACUGUUUUUAAGAUGGACAGUGAAGAAAGAAGUAACCUGACUGGUGCAGGAAUGUGUUAUCGAUGUGGUGGAACUAAUCAUGGCCCGAAAGACUAAGUUUGCCAACGAAAAAUGUUUCAAGUGUGGUAAAAUAGGACAUGUGAAAAGAGUAUGUAGAAUGAAACCACAGGAAACUGCUAUUAACAAAGGCAGGAAAACGGGAAAAUGGGAGAGAGGAAAGCAGUCAAAGAGGGCAAAUUUUCUUCAGGAGGAAGAGGAAGUUCAGUCUGAAGAAAUGUUCACUAUGUAUAGUAUGCAAACAGCCCAAUCUCAGGUGCCUCCGCUUACACAAGCUUUACUGGUAAAUGAGUGCCCUGUGAAAUUUGAAAUUGACACUGGAUGUAGUGUAACUGUUAUCAUCACAGGUGGAAUAUUUACUGCAAAAUAAAGGUAGAUCAAGACACACACAAGCGUAAUUUUCACCUAUUAUUAACGUUAUUGUAACCCUUUCAGCGGAACUGGGAACUGUCUUAAAGGUAUUUUAUGGCAACUUUAUUAAUAUGGAAAGAUUAUUUGACAGUAGACUUUGCUUUAAAUGAUUAAAUAACAAAAUUAGUGUCAUCGCCGCUCCUACUGCUAUCUGACAUCCACCGGAAAUGCACGAGUAUUUACCAAUUCAACAGAUCAGGAAAACAAUCAUGAUUUUAUUUUCUAUAUUUCCUCAUCCCACCGAAAUUAAUUUCAGGUAAUACCAACUGCCAGCACAACACAAGACGUGCUUCUGAAUCGUUUUAGAUGCAAGUGUGACUUACAUUAAGCACAGCACACAGGAGCUGAUUUUAACCCCCAUGGUGAAGUCCGCGGCGACAGACAGCGUGGUGCACUGCAGGUUAUGGUAACUGCCCUAUUUUAUAAAGACCAGAAAAAAGGCAGCGUUCAGUAUUUGUUCAGCACGAUGAGAUACAGAAUUUCUGCUAGAAACACCAUCAUUAAACACCAUCAACUAAAACGAACAUUUACAUUUAAACAUUUAAAGUUUUUUUUUUUUUUUUGCAUACAGUCAACAUUUAAAUAAACGUAAAUAGAGUAGUCAAAAGGCCGAUGAGCGCAACAAACAAUUAGAUUGAAAUAUAUUUAAAGAAGCACCAAAACUGUGCUUUGCAACGCAUAUUGUCAAAUGUACGACAUUUCUGUUUCUUUGCAGCUGGACCAGGAACAUAUAUCGCCUGCUUUUAGGAAGAAACUUUUAAGGAUCAACUGUUUUGCCACUGUCUCUUCAACCACGCGAUUGUGCAGCGACUAUUUGCCGGAAAAUCUUGGAAUCAGCCACCUUGAGUUCCAAAGAAGAGGAACUUUGAUCUUUGGAAUUGAGUAAAGUAGUAUCUGACUGGCACUGGAUUGGAAAGCUGAGCCGGCUGGGCCUGAACACCUCUCUCUGUAACAGGAUCCUGGACUUCCUGACUGGUAGACCUCGGUCAAUCCAGAUCGGAAGUAGCAUCUCCAACACCUCUACAAUGAGCACUGGGGCCCCCCAGGGCUGUGUGCUCAGUCCACUGCUGUUCACUCUGCUGACUCAUGACUAUGCAGCGAUGCACAGCUCGAAUCACAUCAAAUUCAGCAAUGACACAACCGUGGUGGGUCUCAUCAACAAGAACGAUGAGUCAGCAUACAGAGAGGAGGUGCAACGGCUAACGGACUGCUGCAGAACCAACAACCUAAGAGACAUAAGAGACGGUUGUUGACUUCGGGAAAGCACGGCGCGACCACUCUCUGCUGAACAUAAACAACUCCUCUGUGGAGAUUGUCAAGAGCACCAAAUUCCUUGGUGUUCACCUGGCGGAGAACCUGGCCUGGUCCCUUAACACCAGCUCCAUUGACAAGAAAGCCCAGCAGUGUCUUUUCUUUCUACCAAGGCAGAGAAAAGCCCAUCUCCCACCUCCUAUCCUCACCAUAUUCUACAGAGGGACUAUCGAGAGCAUCCUAAGCAGCUGCAUCACUGCCUGGUUUGGAAACUGCAUCGUCUUGGAUCUCAAGACCCUGCAGCGGAUAGUGAGGACAGCUGAGAUGAUCACUGGAGUUUUUCUUCCUUCCAUCACAGACAUUUACACCAUAUGCUGCAUCUGCAAAGCCACUAGCAUGGAUGACCACAUGCACCCCUCACACAAACUCUUCACCCUCCUGCCAUCUGGCAAAAGGGACUGAAACAUUCAGGCCCUUCAGGCCUAGACUGUGUAACAGUUUCUUCCUCCAAGCCAUCAGACUCCUUAAUACUCAGAAACUAGACUGACACCAACCCUCCCACACACACACACACACAUGCACACACAUGCACACACAUGCACACACAUGCACACAGACACACUCAUGAUCAACGGAACACCACUCCACUCCCUCUGCAACUUUUGCAACUUUUUGUAACUUAUUCUUUCUUAAAUUGCUGCUAAAACACUGUACACAAAAUACUGUAUUGACCACCUGCACUCUUGCUGCUAACACUGUAUUUAUCAUAGUAAAUACAUAGUGUCAUAGUAUAUUAGGGUUAGUUACAUAUGGCACUCUGUCCACUUUAUCCACACUAGAAAUGUGUACUAGUCAGCGCUGCACUGUCCUUAUUGUGCCUAUUGUCCUGUUUUAGGAAUUUGUACUUGACUUGUGCUGUUUAUACAUUUGCACACAUGCACUUUAGGAAAUCCUGUGUAGGUCUGUGUAGUCUUUAGUUAGUUCUGUGUAGUCUCAUGUAGGUUUGUGUUUUAUGUAGCACCAUGGUCCUGGUGCAAAGUUGAUUCAUUUCACUGUGUACUGUACCAGCUGUAUAUGGUUGAAAUGACAAUAAAAGCCACUUCACUU
This is a long non-coding RNA of Pangasianodon hypophthalmus (striped catfish), 3629 nucleotides long. RefSeq lists it as uncharacterized. Lineage: Eukaryota; Metazoa; Chordata; Actinopteri; Siluriformes; Pangasiidae. The transcript is spliced from 2 exons. The record is from RefSeq and is a predicted model, not a curated record.